RNAcentral lists this long non-coding RNA (536 nucleotides) under Bos taurus (domestic cattle). RNAcentral's name for it is "long non-coding RNA NONBTAT014852". Lineage: Eukaryota; Metazoa; Chordata; Mammalia; Artiodactyla; Bovidae. The record is from RNAcentral.
GCAGACAGCUGUUGCAAUAUUUAUUUUUCACUCUUCAUAAAAAUAUAAUAAUCAAUAGUGGUUUGUUACAGAGUCAAAAAUUUCUGACCAGUCCUUGGAACAUGAUCCAGCCCCGGUGCUGAUCCAUCAGGCUAAUGUGUCAUUAAAACUCUGUUUGUCAAAGCUGAUCUUUCCCAAGGUGACUGCGCCCCGGCUCUGCGAAUGCACCCACUUCAGAUCUUGCUGGUCAAGCAAAGUCUCUGUCCUUGUCCCUGGUUGAUGUCGAACAAACUCCAGGAUGAUGUUCCACUCAUGCAGGAUGAGGGAUCAGGGUCGGGGAGGGGUUGGGGAGGGGUGGUGCUCCAGCUGCAGGUGAGCAGCAGAAACACCCCUGACCUUGCAGAUCAGAAACUCUCAAGAGUUUGGGAUCAGGCUUAGCCGAUGACAUAAUUAGCACUUCCUUGAGGGAGAGGAGAGAGAACUUUAUUUUGGUCUGGUAACUCAUUCAUCUGGCUACCAGUCAAGUAAGAUGCAAACGUAUGAUUUCAAAUAGCUAU